This 450-nucleotide ribosomal RNA is filed under the name uncultured bacterium. Its description in RNAcentral is "partial 16S ribosomal RNA". It matches the Rfam family "Bacterial small subunit ribosomal RNA", at positions 354 to 796 of the family's 1533-position model. The record is from RNAcentral.
GUGGGGAAUAUUGGACAAUGGGCGAAAGCCUGAUCCAGCCAUGCCGCGUGUGUGAAGAAGGUCUUCGGAUUGCAAAGCACUUUAAGUUGGGAGGAAGGGCAGUUAGUUAAUACCUUGCUGUUUUGACGUUACCGACAGAAUAAGCACCGGCUAACUUCGUGCCAGCAGCCGCGGUAAUACGAAGGGUGCAAGCGUUAAUCGGAAUUACUGGGCGUAAAGCGCGCGUAGGUGGUUUUGUAAGUUGGAGGUGAAAUCCCCGGGCUCAACCUGUGAACUGCCUCCAAAACUGCAUGACUAGAGUACGGUAGAGGGUAGUGGAAUUUCCUGUGUAGCGGUGAAAUGCGUAGAUAUAGGAAGGAACACCAGUGGCGAAGGCGACUACCUGGACUGAUACUGACACUGAGGUGCGAAAGCGUGGGGAGCAAACAGGAUUAGAUACCCCUGUAGUCC